Molecule: non-coding RNA, 1372 nt
Organism: Biomphalaria pfeifferi
Lineage: Eukaryota; Metazoa; Mollusca; Gastropoda; Planorbidae
Source: the annotation of a GenBank genome assembly
CCCCCCCCCCCCUCCCCUUUCCCCCGCUCCUCUAAUGUCAUGAAUAGUCAAUUAAAGUAUGAGGUCAUGAUAUUCAAGAUCAGUCCUGUUUCAGUUUUUGUCCUCCCAACCUUCCUGUGAUUUCAGCCUCAGAGAAGUGUUGUUCACAUAGUCCUAAGACAUCUAGCAAUGCUAUGUUCAGUCACUAGUUCAUUGAGUGGACAAGUGCAUGUUUGAUGGCCACAUUGAACAGGAAGGAUUAAUUUCUUUGUGUGUGUGUGUAUUAAAGGGAAACUAGUUAGAGGUUACAAUUAACUGAUUAACAGGAAGAGUUAAUUUCUUUAUGUGUAUGUAUUAAAGGGAAACCAGUUGGGAGGUUUUCCAUCCUUCUGGUCCACUGUUCUUUAAGAUAUCAAAAAAAAAAAAUACUAUUCUCUCUUUCUCUGAUUCAGUUUUUCAUCCUGACCAAAUCAUUCUGUCCCAUUUUUUUUAUUAUCUAAAGAGCACUAGAGUUGAAUGAUUGUGUGUUGCAUUAAUCUAAUGUUGAGAGAGCCGUUGUUCUGGGAAUGUUAGUUGUGAGGUCAGGUUUACAUCUACUAAUGGACAACAGCUAACAAAACCUCCUAUAUGGAGCUGUUUUGCAAUUUAUUGCCAUUAGAAUAUUACAAAUAGGGAUUUAAAUAGUACUGUCAAAAAAAUACUUUACAUGAUUGUUAACCCUAGCAAAAAAAAGUUUUUGAAAUGUUUUUUUUUUUAUUUUUCAAAAUUUAAUUGGUAGUAGUCCAUUGGCCAUUCAUGAAUGUACGGGUAUUUUGAAAAUUUUACUGUUUUGAAGAUUUAUUUCCCUUGGAAUGAGCAAACUUGAUCUGACUUGUCAAGUAAAAAUGUCAUGUCAGUCAAGAUUUCCAACAAGUUUUUCAUCAAUUUUAUUGGUAGCUUGUAGUUGAACAUAAACUCUCAUUGUGAUCUUUUUUUUUUUUUAAUUGGUUUUGGAGGUCAAAUGCUAAAGAUUGAGACAUACCUGUAUUAAAGGUUAGUUUUAGAGUUGAUGAAGUUUUUAGGGUUAGAGUCAAGGUUAGUUAGUUUUCUUGAUAAGCUUGAUCUCAAAGUUUUUGAUAAUUUAGUGAGAUGUUCUUAUUUUAUCUAACAUCCUUUUCUAAAUAAUAUUCAGUUAAAUUUUCCUCUAUUUUUUAUUUUUUUCUCAAACAUUGCAAGUAUUAAAUGUCCAAAAGUCUAUAAGAUCCAAUGAAAUCUUGAGGGUCUUGAUUAUAUUUCUGUACAAAUUGUUAUUAGAUACCAGAAAUGGAUUUGAAAAAAAGAUUGCUGUAAUAAAAGAAGCUUUAUUAUUAUGACUCCAAAUCUUUUGUUUCUGUUGUUAUAAAUUGACCACAAG